Long non-coding RNA from Oncorhynchus gorbuscha (pink salmon), 1642 nucleotides. RefSeq lists it as uncharacterized. The record is from RefSeq and is a predicted model, not a curated record. Lineage: Eukaryota; Metazoa; Chordata; Actinopteri; Salmoniformes; Salmonidae. The transcript is spliced from 2 exons.
CUAGAUACUGUUUCGGCUGCAGGCAUACAAAACAGGAACUUCCGGUUUUAGCCUUCAAAAUAAAAGCGCGCUGCUGCACUCGUUCUGCACAGCACGAGUGAGGGCCUGAGGCUCUUGGACCACAACUUAGGACACCCUGGCCUGACACCUGGAUGUGCAUGUCCAUACCCCCCCUCUACCUGCCUGUUACUUUAAAGUCCAUAUUUAACCUAUACAGCUCUGGAUCCAUUGUCUUACCUAUUACUGCAACAAAUUGUCAGUUAUUUGCCUUUUUUAAAUAAUUGUACAUUUUAUUUUUUACUAAUGACUGAAAGCUGUGUGACCAUUUAACAAUUGCUGCAUAUACCUUGUCCUUCUCCCAAAGUAUUGACUUUCUCAUUUCUUCUCAUCUCAGGGAUUUAACAAUGGUGUAAUGUAGCUCAAACCAAUGCUUACACCUACCUAAUGCUUGGAUAACCAUGAGGAGAGAGAUGGACAAUUGGUAUGCAGCCACUAAUUUCAGGUGGCUUCAUCAACAGCUGGAAUGUGUUCCAAAUGGCACCCUAUUCCGUAUACAUAGUGCACAUUCCGCCUGUUGAGCACCACCCUGCUUGUUAUCCAUUUAUCCAUCCCAUUCCCCCAGUUAAGCAAACAAAGGGGAGAGGCUCUGACUAUAAUUUAUGUAGUAAAUUGCUUUUCCUAUCAAUUACUUUAUUUUAUAAACUUCCUUUGUUGUGUAUGCAUGUCCCUUUUUAAUAAAACCUUAAUUGUCUCCCGAGUGGCGCAGCGGUCUAAGGCACAGCAUCUCAGUGUAAGAGGCAUCACUGCAGUCCCUCGUUUGAAUCCAGGUUGCAUCACAUCUGGCCGUGAUUUGGAGUCCCAUAGGGUGACUCACAACUGGCCCGGGUUUGGCCUGGCUAGGCGGUCAUUGUAAAUUAUAAUUAGUUCUUAACUGACUUGCCUAGUUAAAUAAAACUUUUUGUUUUUUAAAUUAAUUCAAACAAGAAAUCAUUUUCACUGGUGGAUAUUCAUGAUGGACAUUAUACUGAACAGUCAUGUACCAAUGAGAUUCACAAGUAUUGCAUUUGUGUGUGUGGUGUUGCUAUUCAGCCUCAUCUAGAAUAACUGCUAACUGACAAAAUAACUCAGCCAUAGGAAAUCAUUGGGGAAAGAAGUCACGUCCGGUUGGCACAAAUCUUUAUUUGACUUUCUGUAAUAGAGCUACAGACCGUAUAAAAGCAUACAUUCAAAACCUUAUGGUCAAAUGUAAUGGAAUCCAAGUUUCUGGGUGUGUGGGGUUCAGUGACUUGAGGGGGAAAAAGAACCAGUGGAGGCAGGUAGAUGGGGGGGCCAGGUGGGAUUGGGCCAAGCACGUCCAGGUGUCAGGCCAGGAUGUACUCAGUAAUGGUCCAAGAGCCUUAGGCCCUCCGGAAGAGGAGACAAGAUGAGGGUUGCGAGCAUGCACUGGGGGCAAAGAAUGAUCAAUCGUGCUGUUGUGGACACUGGAUAAUCUGACUAAUAGGCGCACACACACCUGUAUGAGCUCGCUGUGGUACUGUAGGCCUAUUUGUGUUACUUUUCAAUUCAGGUAGCAUUCAAUGUCCUGCGUUUGUGUUAACCAUGGCAUCCAGCAUUGUAAAUAAAGAGAUGUGCAGAUUGUUAA